RNAcentral lists this ribosomal RNA (419 nucleotides) under bacterium. RNAcentral describes it as "partial 16S ribosomal RNA". It matches the Rfam family "Bacterial small subunit ribosomal RNA", at positions 355 to 776 of the family's 1533-position model. The record is from RNAcentral.
UGGGGGAUAUUGCACAAUGGGCGAAAGCCUGAUGCAGCGACGCCGCGUGGGGGAUGAAGGCCUUCGGGUUGUAAACUUCUUUUGCUCUGAACAAGGCAUGCUAAUGGGUGUGUUGAGUGUAGGGGUUGAUUAGCGCCGGCUAACUACGUGCCAGCAGCCGCGGUAAUACGUAGGGCGCGAGCGUUGUCCGGAAUUAUUGGGCGUAAAGGGCGUGUAGGUGGCUGGUUGCGUCUGUCGUGAAAGCUCAUGGCUUAACUGUGGGGUUGCGGUGGGUACGGGCUGGCUUGAGUGCAGUAGGGGAGGCUGGAGUUCCUGGUGUAGCGGUGGAAUGCGCAGAUAUCAGGAGGGAUUCCGGUGGAGAAGGCGGGUCUCUGGGCUGUUACUGACACUGAGGAGCGAAAGCAUGGAGAGCGAACAGG